This 450-nucleotide ribosomal RNA is filed under the name uncultured bacterium. RNAcentral's name for it is "partial 16S ribosomal RNA". It matches the Rfam family "Bacterial small subunit ribosomal RNA", at positions 354 to 796 of the family's 1533-position model. The record is from RNAcentral.
GUGGGGAAUCUUCCGCAAUGGACGAAAGUCUGACGGAGCAACGCCGCGUGAGUGAUGAAGGUCUUCGGAUUGUAAAGCUCUGUUAAUCGGGACUAAAGAGCCUAGUGUGAAUAAUGCUAGGAAGUGACGGUACCGGAAUAGAAAGCCACGGCUAACUACGUGCCAGCAGCCGCGGUAAUACGUAGGUGGCAAGCGUUGUCCGGAAUUAUUGGGCGUAAAGCGCGCGCAGGCGGAUCUGCCAGUCUGUCUUAAAAGUUCGGGGCUUAACCCCGUGAUGGGAUGGAAACUACAGAUCUAGAGUAUCGGAGAGGAAAGUGGAAUUCCUAGUGUAGCGGUGAAAUGCGUAGAUAUUAGGAAGAACACCAGUGGCGAAGGCGACUUUCUGGACGAAAACUGACGCUGAGGCGCGAAAGCCAGGGGAGCGAACGGGAUUAGAAACCCCGGUAGUCC